GACGAACGCUGGCGGCGUGCUUAACACAUGCAAGUCGAACGGAAAGGCCCUGCUCUUGUGGGGUGCUCGAGUGGCGAACGGGUGAGUAACACGUGAGUAACCUGCCCUUGACUUUGGGAUAACUUCAGGAAACUGGGGCUAAUACCGGAUAGGAGCUCCUGCUGCAUGGUGGGGGUUGGAAAGUUUCGGCGGUUGGGGAUGGACUCGCGGCUUAUCAGCUUGUUGGUGGGGUAGUGGCUUACCAAGGCUUUGACGGGUAGCCGGCCUGAGAGGGGGACCGGCCACAUUGGGACUGAGAUACGCACCAGACGGCUACGGGAGGCAGCAGUGGAGAAUAUUGCACAAUGGGCGGAAGCCUGAUACAGCGACGCCGCGUGCGGGAUGACGUCCUUCGGGUUAUAAACCGCUUUCGCCGGUGACGAAGCGUGAGUGACGGUAAUGGGUAAAGAAGCACCGGCUAACUACGUG
RNAcentral lists this ribosomal RNA (468 nucleotides) under uncultured bacterium. RNAcentral describes it as "partial 16S ribosomal RNA". It matches the Rfam family "Bacterial small subunit ribosomal RNA", at positions 28 to 507 of the family's 1533-position model. The record is from RNAcentral.